RNAcentral lists this ribosomal RNA (508 nucleotides) under uncultured bacterium. RNAcentral's name for it is "bacterial SSU rRNA". It matches the Rfam family "Bacterial small subunit ribosomal RNA", at positions 28 to 527 of the family's 1533-position model. The record is from RNAcentral.
GACGAACGCUGACGGCGUGGAUUAGGCAUGCAAGUCGAACGGUAUCAUCCUUUCGGGGGUGAGAGAGUGGCGAACUGGUGAGUAACACGUAGGUUAUCUACCCUCAAGACGGGGACAACCCAGGGAAACUUGGGCUAAUACCGGAUGUGAGCAACUUUUAGUUGUUUGAAAGGUGGCGUAAGCUGUCGCUUGGGGAUGAGCCUGCGUCCUAUUAGUUAGUUGGUGAGGUAACGGCUCACCUAGGCAAUGAUAGGUAGGCGGCCUUAACGGGUGGUCGCCCACACUGGGAUUGAGAUACGGCCCAGACUCCUACGGGAGGCAGCAGUCGAGAAUAGUCUACAAUGGUCGGAAGACUGAUAGUGCGACGCCGCGUGAACGAUGAAUCCCUUCGGGGUGUAAAGUUCUUUUAUAUGUGAGCAGUGCUUCUUAUAUUAACAGUAUGGGGAGAGAGAUAUUAGCAUAUGAAUAAGCAACGGCUAACUCCGUGCCAGCAGCCGCGGUAAACUCG